GUAGGGUGCGAGCGUUGUCCGGAAUUAUUGGGCGUAAAGAGCUUGUAGGCGGUUUGUCGCGUCUGCUGUGAAAGCCCGGGGCUUAACUCCGGGUCUGCAGUGGGUACGGGCAGACUAGAGUGUGGUAGGGGAGACUGGAAUUCCUGGUGUAGCGGUGAAAUGCGCAGAUAUCAGGAGGAACACCGAUGGCGAAGGCAGGUCUCUGGGCCAUAACUGACGCUGAGAAGCGAAAGCAUGGGGAGCGAACAGGAUUAGAUACCCUGGUAGUCCAUGCCGUAAACGUUGGGCGCUAGGUGUGGGGCUCAUUCCACGAGUUCCGUGCCGUAGCUAACGCAUUAAGC
RNAcentral lists this ribosomal RNA (341 nucleotides) under uncultured actinomycete. Its description in RNAcentral is "bacterial SSU rRNA". It matches the Rfam family "Bacterial small subunit ribosomal RNA", at positions 527 to 865 of the family's 1533-position model. The record is from RNAcentral. Lineage: Bacteria; Bacillati; Actinomycetota; Actinomycetes; Actinomycetales.